ACGGAAGGCAGCAGUGGGGAAUAUUGCACAAUGGGGGAAACCCUGAUGCAGCGACGCCGCGUGAGUGAAGAAGUUAUUCGUAAUGUAAAGCUCUAUCAGCAGGGAAGAAAAUGACGGUACCUGACUAAGAAGCCCCGGCUAACUACGUGCCAGCAGCCGCGGUAAUACGUAGGGGGCAAGCGUUAUCCGGAUUUACUGGGUGUAAAGGGAGUGUAGGUGGUUUGGCAAGCCAGAUGUGAAAACCCGGGGCUCAACCCCGCGGACUGCAUUUGGAACUGUCAAACUUGAGUGCAGGAGAGGAAAGUGGAAUUCCUAGUGUAGCGGUGAAGUGCGUAGAUAUUAGGAGGAACACCAGUGGCGAAGGCGGCUUUCUGGACUGUAACUGACACUGAGGCUCGAAAGCGUGGGGAGCAAACAGGAUUAGAUACCCUAGUA
Molecule: ribosomal RNA, 435 nt
Filed under: uncultured Lachnospiraceae bacterium
Lineage: Bacteria; Bacillati; Bacillota; Clostridia; Lachnospirales; Lachnospiraceae
Description: partial 16S ribosomal RNA
Rfam family: Bacterial small subunit ribosomal RNA
Source: RNAcentral